Molecule: ribosomal RNA, 466 nt
Filed under: uncultured bacterium
Lineage: Bacteria
Description: partial 16S ribosomal RNA
Rfam family: Bacterial small subunit ribosomal RNA
Source: RNAcentral
GACGAACGCUGGCGGCGUGCUUAACACAUGCAAGUCGAACGGAAAGGCCCUGCUUGCAGGGUACUCGAGUGGCGAACGGGUGAGUAACACGUGGGUGAUCUGCCCUGCACUUCGGAAUAAGCUUGGGAAACUGGGUCUAAUACCGGAUAGGAACCAUCUUUAGUGUGGUGGUUGGAAAGUUUUUUCGGUGUAGGAUGAGCUCGCGGCCUAUCAGCUUGUUGGUGGGGUAAUGGCCUACCAAGGCGGCGACGGGUAGCCGGCCUGAGAGGGUGUACGGCCACAUUGGGACUGAGAUACGGCCCAGACUCCUACGGGAGGCAGCAGUGGGGAAUAUUGCACAAUGGGCGCAAGCCUGAUGCAGCGACGCCGCGUGGGGGAUGAAGGCCUUCGGGUUGUAAACUCCUUUCGCUAGGGACGAAGCUUUGUUGUGACGGUACCUAGAUAAGAAGCACCGGCUAACUACGUG